GUGAGGAAUAUUGGUCAAUGGGCGGAAGCCUGAACCAGCCAUCCCGCGUGCAGGAAGACGGCCCUAUGGGUUGUAAACUGCUUUUCCAGGGGGAGAAACUUUCCGAUGCAUCGGGCUUUGACGGUACCCUGGGAAUAAGCAUCGGCUAACUCCGUGCCAGCAGCCGCGGUAAUACGGAGGAUGCGAGCGUUAUCCGGAUUUAUUGGGUUUAAAGGGUGCGUAGGCGGGUUAAUAAGUCAGUGGUGAAAACCUACAGCUUAACUGUAGACUUGCCGUUGAUACUGUUAGUCUUGAGUGUGGUCAAGGUAGGCGGAAUGUGUAAUGUAGCGGUGAAAUGCUUAGAUAUUACACAGAACACCGAUUGCGAAGGCAGCUUACUGGGCCAUUACUGACGCUGAUGCACGAAAGCGUGGGGAUCAAACAGGAUUAGAAACCCUAGUAGUCC
RNAcentral lists this ribosomal RNA (445 nucleotides) under uncultured bacterium. Its description in RNAcentral is "bacterial SSU rRNA". It matches the Rfam family "Bacterial small subunit ribosomal RNA", at positions 354 to 796 of the family's 1533-position model. The record is from RNAcentral.